UCUCAGCACAGAUAUAGCAACAUUGUUUCA
RNAcentral lists this non-coding RNA (30 nucleotides) under Rattus norvegicus (Norway rat). Lineage: Eukaryota; Metazoa; Chordata; Mammalia; Rodentia; Muridae. The record is from RNAcentral.